CUGAAAGUUCAGUUUCUGACAUAGCGC
RNAcentral lists this unclassified non-coding RNA (27 nucleotides) under Dictyostelium discoideum. The record is from RNAcentral. Lineage: Eukaryota; Evosea; Eumycetozoa; Dictyosteliales; Dictyosteliaceae.